GUUGUUGAACCUACUUUUCAUCUUAGAAUGGUUAAGAGUCUUGUGUUAUGAAUUGAAGAUAUAUGUCAUGUUUGAAUGUGUAUUAGGGUGAUAUAUGAGUUGUGUACUCCUAUGAUUGUAUUCAUGAGUUGUUUAAGGUGAUUAGAUGAGUUGUCUAGUCUCUGGUUUUGUUAUUUGAGCAUAUCAAUGUUUAAUUGAUUAUAAAAAAUAGCUUAAAUGUCUUGUAAUUGAUGAGUUAUCAUACUUGAACAUUUAGUGAGUUGGUUGCAUGAAUU
RNAcentral lists this long non-coding RNA (275 nucleotides) under Brassica napus (rape). RNAcentral describes it as "long non-coding RNA (BNAP_LNC016918)". Lineage: Eukaryota; Viridiplantae; Streptophyta; Magnoliopsida; Brassicales; Brassicaceae. The record is from RNAcentral.